ACGGGGUAGUAACGGGUAGGUGACGUACCCUCGGGUUGGGGAUAGCCACGGGAAACUGUGGGUAAUACCCAAUAAUCUCCUGGAGUGUGAUGACUUCGGGAGCAAAGGUGUGAUUCCACCGGAGGAGCGGCCUGCUUCGUAUUAGCUAGUUGGUGAGGUAACGGCUCACCAAGGCUUCGAUGCGUAGGGGGUGUGAGAGCAUGACCCCCACCACUGGGACUGAGAUACUGCCCAGACACCUACGGGUGGCUGCAGUCGAGAAUCUUCGGCAAUGGGCGCAAGCCUGACCGAGCGACGCCGCGUGUGGGAUGAAGGCCCUUGGGUUGUAAACCACUGUCAGAGGGGAUGAAGUGCCAGAGAGUUAUCUCUCUGGUUUGACAUAGCCUCAGAGGAAGCACGGGCUAAGUUCGUGCCAGCAGCCGCGGUAAUACGAACUGUGCAAACGUUAUUCGGAAUCACUGGGCUUACAGGGUGCGUAGGCGGCUUGUUAAGUAGGGUGUGAAAGCCCCCGGCUCAACCGGGGAAUGGCGCCCUAAACUGGCGAGCUGGAGUGAGAUAGGGGUGUGCGGAACUUCCGGUGGAGCGGU
RNAcentral lists this ribosomal RNA (587 nucleotides) under uncultured bacterium. Its description in RNAcentral is "bacterial SSU rRNA". It matches the Rfam family "Bacterial small subunit ribosomal RNA", at positions 102 to 682 of the family's 1533-position model. The record is from RNAcentral.